CUACGUGCCAGCAGCCGCGGUAAUACGUAGGUCCCGAGCGUUGUCCGGAUUUAUUGGGCGUAAAGCGAGCGCAGGCGGUUAGAUAAGUCUGAAGUUAAAGGCUGUGGCUUAACCAUAGUACGCUUUGGAAACUGUUUAACUUGAGUGCAAGAGGGGAGAGUGGAAUUCCAUGUGUAGCGGUGAAAUGCGUAGAUAUAUGGAGGAACACCGGUGGCGAAAGCGGCUCUCUGGCUUGUAACUGACGCUGAGGCUCGAAAGCGUGGAGAGCAAACAGGAUUAGAUACCCUGGUAGUCCACGCCGUAAACGAUGAGUGCUAGGUGUUAGACCCUUUCCGGGGUUUAGUGCCGCAGCUAACGCAUUAAGCACUCCGCCUGGGGAGUACGACCGCAAGGUUGAAACUCAAAGGAAUUGACGGGGGCCCGCACAAGCGGUGGAGCAUGUGGUUUAAUUCGAAGCAACGCGAAGAACCUUACCAGGUCUUGACAUCCC
This 490-nucleotide ribosomal RNA is filed under the name uncultured bacterium. RNAcentral describes it as "bacterial SSU rRNA". It matches the Rfam family "Bacterial small subunit ribosomal RNA", at positions 501 to 990 of the family's 1533-position model. The record is from RNAcentral.